This 301-nucleotide ribosomal RNA is filed under the name uncultured bacterium. Its description in RNAcentral is "partial 16S ribosomal RNA". It matches the Rfam family "Bacterial small subunit ribosomal RNA", at positions 509 to 807 of the family's 1533-position model. The record is from RNAcentral.
CAGUCGCCGCGGGAAUACGAAGGGUGCAAGCGUUACUCGGAAUUACUGGGCGUAAAGCGUGCGUAGGUGGUGGUUUAAGUCCGUUGUGAAAGCCCUGGGCUCAACCUGGGAAUUGCAGUGGAUACUGGGUCACUAGAGUGUGGUAGAGGAUAGUGGAAUCUCCGGUGUAGCAGUGAAAUGCGUAGAGAUCGGAAGGAACAUCUGUGGCGAAGGCGACUAUCUGGGCCAACACUGACACUGAGGCACGAAAGCGUGGGGAGCAAACAGGAUUAGAUACCCCCGUAGUCCCUGUCUCUUAUAC